GCUAAUUCUAAGACAAUGGAGAGGCUUAUGGCCGGAUUUUUACUUUAGCAUUCGACUCUUUGACUUGGUGAAACUAAUAUGAAGAACCUCCUUAAGAAGUUCCACAUCAUGUCCAGUGGUCAGUCUGACGAUGCAGCUGAAGGGUCUACUUCAUCGAGGAGCAGUAAAUUAAUGGAGGUGUCUUCGCCUGAUAAGCUGCCGUCUCG
This 206-nucleotide unclassified non-coding RNA is filed under the name Hevea brasiliensis (rubber tree). The record is from RNAcentral. Lineage: Eukaryota; Viridiplantae; Streptophyta; Magnoliopsida; Malpighiales; Euphorbiaceae.